CCUACGGGAGGCAGCAGUGGGGGAUAUUGCACAAUGGGGGAAACCCUGAUGCAGCGACGCCGCGUGUGGGAAGACGGUCCUCUGGAUUGUAAACCACUGUCCCCAGGGACGAAGAUGACGGUACCUGGGGAGGAAGCUCCGGCUAACUACGUGCCAGCAGCCGCGGUAAUACGUAGGGAGCGAGCGUUGUCCGGAAGUACUGGGUGUAAGGGGAGCGUAGGCGGGACUGCAAGUUGGGUGUCAAAUCUACCGGCUCAACCGGUAGCCGCACUCAAAACUGCAGUUCUUGAGUGAAGUAGAGGCAGGCGGAAUUCCUAGUGUAGCGGUGAAAUGCGUAGAUAUUAGGAGGAACACCAGUGGCGAAGGCGGCCUGCUGGGCUUUUACUGACGCUGAGGCUCGAAAGUGUGGGGAGCAAACAGGAUUAGAUACCCGAGUAGUC
This 440-nucleotide ribosomal RNA is filed under the name uncultured bacterium. RNAcentral's name for it is "partial 16S ribosomal RNA". It matches the Rfam family "Bacterial small subunit ribosomal RNA", at positions 338 to 795 of the family's 1533-position model. The record is from RNAcentral.